Long non-coding RNA from Hirundo rustica (Barn swallow), 3767 nucleotides. RefSeq lists it as uncharacterized. The transcript is spliced from 5 exons. Lineage: Eukaryota; Metazoa; Chordata; Aves; Passeriformes; Hirundinidae. The record is from RefSeq and is a predicted model, not a curated record.
UUCCGGCGGCCGCGUCACCGUUCCGGGAAGCGGGUGGCGUCACGCCGCCAUCCCUCCCGCCGUCCGUCCCGCGGCGCGGGGCGGGCCCCGGGGAACAAAGGCGCGAUAAAAAUAGAAGAAUUUGCAUCAGGGUUUGAACAUCUGAGCUGCUUGAACUGUGCUAUUGAUAAAGCAAUGGGAAAACAGAGUCUGGAGUGAGGCAAAGGCAAAUUUCUCACUAAGGGAAGAUCAAACCACUUAAUACUAGGAUUUACGACUGAUUCUCUGGAAUUUUUAUCAGUAUUAACUGGGAGCUCUAUUUACUAUGCCGAUAAAAAUAAGUAGUACAAAUAGAGCUCAGGUUAAAGAAAAUAUUUGAAUAGAAGAUAGCAGACGUGAAAAAUACAUGUCUGGAUGGCAAAGCACUGGAAUGCGAUCCUGGGUUGACAUUACAGCUUCAUGGGAGUUAAUAGACCUAUCCCAAUUCACAUGUAAGGUUCGGAAACAAAAUAAUGAAGUUGAGGCUCGGAGAAAAAGGGAGAACCGCGGGUGGGACAUUGAGAACGCAGUGAGGAAGCCUGUUGGUUGUAUGAAAAAUGCACGGCGGAGAUUAAAGCAGUUCUCCCGCCACCGGGAUGUUUCUUCUGUGUCUCUGUGUGUCUGGUAGCUGGCUCAUGGAUGUUAGCCGAGAGGGCAGCUCGUCCCCGGCGGUUUGAAGACGCAGUUAAGCGGAGCAGCCGCUGGAUGUCUCUCCUGCACAGCGCCCAGGGACACGGAGCGGCCUCUCGGGGUGACCAGCCAACAUCUGGGGAACGGCAACAUCUGGGGAACGGCAACAUCUGGGGAACGGCAACGCGUCCGUGUGGGAGGCCAGCUGCUCGCUGCUGCCUGGGGAGAUGCGACACAGCUCUCAGCACAAGAGAUUGUGAGGCAUCAGCAAGAUCCACAGAUGAGAAAUGCAUUUUGCUUCCAUUACGGGAGCGCUUUUUUUCCCCGCCCCGUUCUUCUCGGUCGUGCUCUGUGCCAGGGUGCUAAACCCGCUGCCAAUAACUGAAGAUUAUUUGAAAAAAUAAGUUAAAACUUGUAACGCCUUUCUCAAUAGUUACCAUAUGUAAGCAAGUACUCUGUUAGGCUGGAUAGAAGAAAUGCAGCAGACAGGGUAAGAACUUGCUAUUCACAGAGUUCCUCCUUUGGCUCCUGUGGUGUAAAGCUACAUGUACCUCCUGCUACAUGGAAAAAAUUGCAAAAGAAUUAAAAUUCAAGAAGCCUGGAUUUAUUUGAAUUGACACCAACAGAGAUCUGGGAUGAUUCCAUUAACAGCACUGCAGUCGUGCUGUUUCUAAAAGGAUAUCUAAAGUACCAUGAGGAAUUUACACACGCUGCCUCUGACAGACCUUGCAAUAAAAUGAGCUACAGUAUUGUAGAAUAAUGGUUUGUGACUAUUUUCUUAUGUAUGAAAGCUUCCCAUAAAUACAUAUUACUUGGAUCAACGUGGGGUAAACCGUACUCACUUCAGCUGGAAGAUGAAACACCACAGAGUUAUGCCUCUUUGGAGUGAGGAAAGUGAAGCUGGAAUUCCAUAAAGCAGCAUUCUUGAUACUACAGCCAUCCUGGGGUCCCACCAGCCCAAACAUCCAGCCAACAUUACCUUCCUCAAGAGACUGGAAGUCACAGCAGGGAUCAAAGUCACAAGGGAUUCAAGGAAAACACCAGCUUAUUUAACAGCUAGGAAGCCUAUCAUUAAGGAUGGCAAAGCUGUAGUGAAGCUGAGAACUGUACCUUCAUUUUUGUGUUCCAGGUCACCUUUUCAUUGGCUAAACUCCAGCCUUCUUUCUUAAACUGCAAUGGGCAUCAGUUUAAGAUGGGAAAAUUUGGUAAAUUAUGGACGGAAGAGCAGCAGUGUGAUUUGCCAUGAAUCCAGGCACCUGCAAGGUAUCAAAGCCAAAGGCAUCAUAUUUUUGGAAAAUGAGACGGAGGUUGUCAAGCAAGGAGGCAGCAGCAUGAGCUGUUUAAUUCCUGCUGAUUUCCCCAGCACUGUGUCCAAGGAGGAUGUCACACUUUUCUGUUCUCUGGUUCAACCUUAUCUCUGAGAGCAUCAGCAAGUCUCACCUCUUCUCAAAGAGUACUCUCCUGUGAUUUAUUUAUAAUCUCCUGCUGCUUCUUGUAAGUAGAGUUUCACUCCCCUUCCUUUGCCCUGCUUCACAUCAUUAUAUUCCACUGAUACACUGCUGCUUCACGUAUGAACCUUUCAGCAGCCUGUUUUCUUCCAGCUGCAAGACAUGCUAAAAUCAAAGGAGACCACUCAGAGGAAUGGGAAGGAAUUUAGGGACAAUAAUAAUAUUUAAUGUGUAGAUUCACAGAGGCUCAGCACAUAUCAAACAUCCCAGCUAAGCUCAUGUCCUUUCAGGUUCACUAAAAUUGAUAGGUUGGUCUUUUACACGCAUUAAUUCUGAGCGUUUUUCAGCUAUCCCUACAAGUUCAUUUCUGCCUAUCAUUUUUGUUGUGUCAGGGCAUUAUUUGUUACCUGUUCAGUUUAAGAAAUACAUGGAAUAUAACAUGUUUUAAAAGACUGUAAGACUGUUGCCUUUGUCUGAAUUGCAGGAUGUGUCUGUUGUAUAUCUCAGGUGCACAGGUACAUUUGUCUCUGUGUAACAUGAAAAUACUUCACAAACGCCUUGAAAGUCCUACUGCCCUAUUCUUUAAAAAUCUUACAUUUAUUUUGAAGUACAGAGCAUAGUUAAACAAUAAAUAAGGGAAAAUCCUUGAAAUGCCUGAGGCACUUGCAAGACACAUUACUUAAGAAUGUAAUCUCAAUUAAAACAUGUAAUCCCUUUGAUUACCAGUUUUGCCUUAAGUAUACUUAGGUGUGCUGCACAGUUCUAAAUGAACACUGUUUUUUUUGUGAAACAAUAUUUAUUCUUUUUAGUAAAGUUUUUAGGAGUCUUGCUCAAACUUAAAAAUUACUAAAGGGAUAAAUGUAAUGAAUAAUUUUGAGUUUACCUGGACUUUUAUCUGCAGCGUAAAAUAAAGGCUAUGGAGCCACAGCCCUCAACAAGGCAAAUAAUCUUCCUAGGAUACUCGUGAUCUGCCAUGGCUAUAUUGAACCAGUUAUCAGUUUAAUCUGUAAUGUUACCCUCCAGGCAGUGAAUUGCUUGGUAACUAAGUUCUGUGUAUCCAACAGAAUGAUUUUAGAAUCCCUGCAAAGCAGCACAGAGCAAGGCACCAGGAAGUUUUCAGUCAUCAUCUGAUUCUGUCUGCCCAAACUGGCUAAAACAAGUGCUACCUUAAAGGGGUUUUUUUCCAUUCAAAGAUUUUGCUGUCUACAAAAGAAGGGUGAAAGCUCUGAGUUUCAGCUCUACAUUCAGACAUUCCUACUAGCUUGGGCCUGGCUUGAUUCAAUUCAUGUGUUUGACUCUUUGUACGCCACUGUCUGAGCUGCCAUAAUCUUUAAAGCCCCAGGAGAUACGCCGAGAUGUGGAUUAAAAUUUUCACAAUGCAAGGGUUUAGAUUUGAGUCUUUUUCAAGGCUUUAUCUGCUGCCUUUGCAUAGUAUGGAAAAACUUUCAGCAAAAUCUGGAAGCUAAAAUACAGACACUGGGACAGUGAUUUCUUUUCCUUUUUCAGAGAAGUUUCUUUAAGUAGAGGGAAAAUUAGGUCAUAUUUUGAUUUCUCUUGGCUGGCUUAUCUCCAAGAUGGCCUGCACCCAGUUUCUUCUAAACAUUUCACUUCUCAGAAGAAUAAUAUCUCAUGUCAGAAUGAUAAAGAGUCAUGUCAAGAAGUACUGCAGAA